AUACGUAGGGGGCGAGCGUUGUCCGGAAUGAUGGGGCGUAAAGGGCGCGUAGGCGGCCCGGUAAGUCUGGAGUGAAAGUCCUGUUUUUAAGAUGGGAAUUGCUUUGGAUACUGUCGGGCUUGAGUGCAGGAGAGGUAAGUGGAAUUCCCAGUGUAGCGGUGAAAUGCGUAGAGAUUGGGAGGAACACCAGUGGCGAAGGCGACUUACUGGACUGUAACUGACGCUGAGGCGCGAAAGUGUGGGGAGCAAACAGGAUUAGAUACCCUGGUAGUCCACACUGUAAACGAUGAAUGCUAGGUGUAGGGGGUAUCGACCCCUUCUGUGCCGCAGUCAACACAAUAAGCAUUCCGCCUGGGGAGUACGGCCGCAAGGUUGAAACUCAAAUGAAUUGACGGG
This 396-nucleotide ribosomal RNA is filed under the name uncultured bacterium. Its description in RNAcentral is "partial 16S ribosomal RNA". It matches the Rfam family "Bacterial small subunit ribosomal RNA", at positions 523 to 917 of the family's 1533-position model. The record is from RNAcentral.